This 519-nucleotide ribosomal RNA is filed under the name uncultured eukaryote. RNAcentral's name for it is "partial 18S ribosomal RNA". It matches the Rfam family "Eukaryotic small subunit ribosomal RNA", at positions 1161 to 1709 of the family's 1831-position model. The record is from RNAcentral.
AGGGGGCCCCCCGGGGUGGGGACUGCGGCUUUUAUUGACUCUCCACAGGGAAACUCUCCCCCGGCCCGGACACUGGGGGGUGACAGAUUGAGAGCUCUUUUUUGUGUCUCUGGGGGGGGGGGCAUGGGCGUUCUUUGUUGGGGGAGUGAUUUGUCUGGGUUAUUUCCAUAACGAACGAGACUCUGGCCUACUAAAAAGUCGUCGGAUCGCUUCACCCGACUGACUUCUUAGAGGGACAAGCGCGGCUUAUCCGCAUGAAAAAAAGCAAUAACAGGUCUGUGAUGCCCCCUAUGUCCGGGGCUGCACGCGCGCUACACUGAGGAAUCAGCGUGUGGGUUUGCCUGGCUCUAAAGAGCUGGGUGAUCCGGUGAUGAUCCUUCGUGAUGAUGAUCAUGACAUGCAGUUAUUUUCUUGUUCUACGAAUCACUAGUAAGUACCGCUCAUCAGCUCGUGCUGAUUACGACUUGCCCUUUGUACACACGCCCGCCGCUGCUCGAACUGAGCAUUUCUAGAAAAUGC